GAGUUUGAUCCUGGCUCAGAUUGAACGCUGGCGGCAUGCCUUACACAUGCAAGUCGAACGGCAGCGCGGGGCAACCUGGCGGCGAGUGGCGAACGGGUGAGUAAUAUAUCGGAACGUACCCUGGAGUGGGGGAUAACGUAGCGAAAGUUACGCUAAUACCGCAUACGAUCUAAGGAUGAAAGUGGGGGAUUCGCAAGAACCUCAUGCUCCUGGAGCGGCCGAUAUCUGAUUAGCUAGUUGGUGGGGUAAAGGCCUACCAAGGCAUCGAUCAGUAGCUGGUCUGAGAGGACGACCAGCCACACUGGAACUGAGACACGGUCCAGACUCCUACGGGAGGCAGCAGUGGGGAAUUUUGGACAAUGGGCGCAAGCCUGAUCCAGCAAUGCCGCGUGAGUGAAGAAGGCCUUCGGGUUGUAAAGCUCUUUUGUCAGGGAAGAAACGGUGGGGGCUAAUAUCCCUUGCUAAUGACGGUACCUGAAGAAUAAGCACCGGCUAACUACGUGCCAGCAGCCGCGGUAAUACGUAGGGUGCAAGCGUUAAUCGGAAUUACUGGGCGUAAAGCGUGCGCAGGCGGUUUUGUAAGUCUGUCGUGAAAUCCCCGGGCUCAACCUGGGAAUUGCGAUGGAGACUGCAAGGCUAGAAUCUGGCAGAGGGGGGUAGAAUUCCACGUGUAGCAGUGAAAUGCGUAGAGAUGUGGAGGAACACCGAUGGCGAAGGCAGCCCCCUGGGUCAAGAUUGACGCUCAUGCACGUAAGCGUGGGGAGCAAACAGGAUUAGAUACCCUGGUAGUCCACGCCCUAAACGAUGUCGACUAGUUGUCGGAGGGUAACUCCUUCGGUAACGCAGCUAACGCGUGAAGUCGACCGCCUGGGGAGUACGGUCGCAAGAUUAAAACUCAAAGGAAUUGACGGGGACCCGCACAAGCGGUGGAUGAUGUGGAUUAAUUCGAUGCAACGCGAAAAACCUUACCUACCCUUGACAUGCCACUAACGAAGCAGAGAUGCAUUAGGUGCCCGAAAGGGAAAGUGGACACAGGUGCUGCAUGGCUGUCGUCAGCUCGUGUCGUGA
RNAcentral lists this ribosomal RNA (1068 nucleotides) under agricultural soil bacterium SC-I-50. Its description in RNAcentral is "bacterial SSU rRNA". It matches the Rfam family "Bacterial small subunit ribosomal RNA", at positions 9 to 1070 of the family's 1533-position model. The record is from RNAcentral.